RNAcentral lists this transfer RNA (69 nucleotides) under Ictidomys tridecemlineatus (thirteen-lined ground squirrel). RNAcentral's name for it is "Spermophilus tridecemlineatus (thirteen-lined ground squirrel) tRNA". It matches the Rfam family "tRNA". From Rfam's summary of the family: Transfer RNA (tRNA) molecules are approximately 80 nucleotides in length. Lineage: Eukaryota; Metazoa; Chordata; Mammalia; Rodentia; Sciuridae. The record is from Rfam by way of RNAcentral.
GGGGUUGUGGUUCAGCGGUAGAGCACUCACCUAGCAUGUGAGAGGUCCCGAGUUCAAUCCUCAGCACCA